UACGUAGGUGGCGAGCGUUGUCCGGAUUUACUGGGCGUAAAGAGCGCGCAGGCGGUCGUUCAAGUCGCGUGUGAAAGCCCCCGGCUCAACUGGGGAGGGUCACGCGAUACUGAUCGACUCGAAGGCAGGAGAGGGAAGUGGAAUUCCCGGUGUAGCGGUGAAAUGCGUAGAUAUCUGGAGGAAUACCGGUGGCGAAGGCGGCAUCCUGGACCGACAUUGACGCUGAUGAGCGAAAGCUAGGGGAGCAAACGGG
RNAcentral lists this ribosomal RNA (253 nucleotides) under uncultured bacterium. RNAcentral's name for it is "partial 16S ribosomal RNA". It matches the Rfam family "Bacterial small subunit ribosomal RNA", at positions 524 to 776 of the family's 1533-position model. The record is from RNAcentral.